CCUACGGGUGGCAGCAGUGGGGAAUAUUGGGCAAUGGGCGCAAGCCUGACCCAGCAACGCCGCGUGAAGGAAGAAGGCUUUCGGGUUGUUAACUUCUUUUAAGAGGGAAGAGCAGAAGACGGUACCUCUUGAAUAAGCCACGGCUAACUACGUGCCAGCAGCCGCGGUAAUACGUAGGUGGCAAGCGUUGUCCGGAUUUACUGGGUGUAAAGGGCGUGCAGCCGGGAAGACAAGGCAGAUGGGAAAUCCCGGGGCUCAAACGCUGAACUGCAUUUGAAACUGGUUUUCUUGAGUACCGGAGAGGUCAUCGGAAUGCCUGGUGUAGCGGUGAAAUGCGUAGAUAUAAGGAAGAACACCAGUGGCGAAGGCGGAUGACUGGACGGCAACUGACGGUGAGGCGCGAAAGCGUGGGGAGCAAACAGGAUUAGAUACCCGUGUAGUC
RNAcentral lists this ribosomal RNA (442 nucleotides) under uncultured bacterium. Its description in RNAcentral is "partial 16S ribosomal RNA". It matches the Rfam family "Bacterial small subunit ribosomal RNA", at positions 338 to 795 of the family's 1533-position model. The record is from RNAcentral.